AUAGCUUCUAAGCGAUUGAUCUUUUAGCUAGGAUUAAGUGUAGUAUUUGUUCUUAUCAGUAUUCUACUACCUGAUAAAUCCUCUGUCUGAGGACAAUAUAGUAAAUGGAUUUUUGGAGCUGGGAGGUGAAAUAGGAGCUUGCUCUGUCCACUCCAGGCAUCAGCCUGCUAUUGCAGUACCUCCAGGAAUGGUGCACCCCUC
Molecule: small nuclear RNA, 201 nt
Filed under: Fukomys damarensis (Damara mole-rat)
Lineage: Eukaryota; Metazoa; Chordata; Mammalia; Rodentia; Bathyergidae
Description: U2 spliceosomal RNA
Rfam family: U2 spliceosomal RNA
About the family: U2 is a small nuclear RNA (snRNA) component of the spliceosome (involved in pre-mRNA splicing). Complementary binding between U2 snRNA (in an area lying towards the 5' end but 3' to hairpin I) and the branchpoint sequence (BPS) of the intron results the bulging out of an unpaired adenosine, on the BPS, which initiates a nucleophilic attack at the intronic 5' splice site, thus starting the first of two transesterification reactions that mediate splicing.
Source: Rfam by way of RNAcentral